Molecule: long non-coding RNA, 202 nt
Organism: Lucilia cuprina (Australian sheep blowfly)
Lineage: Eukaryota; Metazoa; Arthropoda; Insecta; Diptera; Calliphoridae
Exons: 3
Source: RefSeq, a predicted model, not a curated record
AAAAAAAAUAAAGAAUUUUCUUUAAAACUUUAGGCUAAGCUGAAAAAAAGUUAAAAAUUAUAAACAAAUAUUAAAUAUUAUAAAAAAUAUAUAAACAAAUAAAAAUAAACAGAAAUUAAAACAAUCUUCAAAAACCGGAUUUCCAAUUGACCAAUAUUUUAUAUACAAUUUUAUUGUUUGAAAGCGGCAAAACAGGUUUGUU